RNAcentral lists this ribosomal RNA (725 nucleotides) under Spergula fallax. RNAcentral's name for it is "eukaryotic LSU rRNA". The stretch from base 280 to 434 matches the Rfam family "5.8S ribosomal RNA". The record is from RNAcentral. Lineage: Eukaryota; Viridiplantae; Streptophyta; Magnoliopsida; Caryophyllales; Caryophyllaceae.
AGCUGUGAGCGGGUUUCAGUAGGUGAACCUGCGGAAGGAUCAUUGUCGAAACCUGCCCAGCAGAACGACCCGAGAACUUGUUCUUCAUGCAUGGGCAAGGGGGCGUCGCCUUGUGUGCGCCCCCCUGCCCACGCCUCGGUGCGGCCACUCGUGGCCGUUCCCCUGGCAAACAACGAACCCCGGCGCGUAAAGCGCCAAGGAACAUAAACUCAAUGUGUGCUCGUGCCCGUGCCCGGUUAGCCGGCGCGCGGGCGUGGUGCCAUGUAUUUAACAAUAAACGACUCUCGGCAACGGAUAUCUCGGCUCUCGCAUCGAUGAAGAACGUAGCGAAAUGCGAUACUUGGUGUGAAUUGCAGAAUCCCGUGAAUCAUCGAGUCUUUGAACGCAAGUUGCGCCCGAAGCCUUUGGCUUAGGGCACGUCUGCCUGGGCGUCACGCAUCGCGUCUCCCCCACACCCACCCCGUGUGGUANGGGGGGGAAGGAUGAUGGGCUUCCCGUGCCUCAAAGGGCGCGGUUGGCCUAAAAUUGGAGCCCACGGCAUCGAGCUGCCGCGGCGAUAGGUGGAAGAUAAGGGCCUCGGCCCGAACCAAGCCAGUCGCGCAGCACUUUGCCAUCGGAGCUCGCAGGACCCUCUGAGCUGCCUCGUUGCAGCUCGAAACCGUUGCGACCCCAGGUCAGGCGGGGCUACCCGCUGAAUUUAAGCAUAUAAUAGNGCGGGAGAAAAA